Molecule: ribosomal RNA, 492 nt
Filed under: uncultured bacterium
Lineage: Bacteria
Description: partial 16S ribosomal RNA
Rfam family: Bacterial small subunit ribosomal RNA
Source: RNAcentral
AGUGAACGCCGGCGGUAGGCCUAACACAUGCAAGUCGAACGGCAGCACAGUAAGAGCUUGCUCUUACGGGUGGCGAGUGGCGGACGGGUGAGGAAUACAUCGGAAUCUACUUUUUCGUGGGGGAUAACGUAGGGAAACUUACGCUAAUACCGCAUACGACCUACGGGUGAAAGCAGGGGAUCUUCGGACCUUGCGCGAUUGAAUGAGCCGAUGUCGGAUUAGCUAGUUGGCGGGGUAAAGGCCCACCAAGGCGACGAUCCGUAGCUGGUCUGAGAGGAUGAUCAGCCACACUGGAACUGAGACACGGUCCAGACUCCUACGGGAGGCAGCAGUGGGGAAUAUUGGACAAUGGGCGCAAGCCUGAUCCAGCCAUACCGCGUGGGUGAAGAAGGCCUUCGGGUUGUAAAGCCCUUUUGUUGGGAAAGAAAAGCAGCAGGUUAAUACCCCGCUGUUCUGACAGUACCCAAAGAAUAAGCACCGGCUAACUUCGUG